Molecule: ribosomal RNA, 794 nt
Filed under: Staphylococcus aureus
Lineage: Bacteria; Bacillati; Bacillota; Bacilli; Caryophanales; Staphylococcaceae
Description: partial 23S ribosomal RNA
Rfam family: Bacterial large subunit ribosomal RNA
Source: RNAcentral
AUUUGGUCGUAGACCCGAAACCAGGUGAUCUACCCUUGGUCAGGUUGAAGUUCAGGUAACACUGAAUGGAGGACCGAACCGACUUACGUUGAAAAGUGAGCGGAUGAACUGAGGGUAGCGGAGAAAUUCCAAUCGAACCUGGAGAUAGCUGGUUCUCUCCGAAAUAGCUUUAGGGCUAGCCUCAAGUGAUGAUUAUUGGAGGUAGAGCACUGUUUGGACGAGGGGCCCCUCUCGGGUUACCGAAUUCAGACAAACUCCGAAUGCCAAUUAAUUUAACUUGGGAGUCAGAACAUGGGUGAUAAGGUCCGUGUUCGAAAGGGAAACAGCCCAGACCACCAGCUAAGGUCCCAAAAUAUAUGUUAAGUGGAAAAGGAUGUGGCGUUGCCCAGACAACUAGGAUGUUGGCUUAGAAGCAGCCAUCAUUUAAAGAGUGCGUAAUAGCUCACUAGUCGAGUGACACUGCGCCGAAAAUGUACCGGGGCUAAACAUAUUACCGAAGCUGUGGAUUGUCCUUUGGACAAUGGUAGGAGAGCGUUCUAAGGGCGUUGAAGCAUGAUCGUAAGGACAUGUGGAGCGCUUAGAAGUGAGAAUGCCGGUGUGAGUAGCGAAAGACGGGUGAGAAUCCCGUCCACCGAUUGACUAAGGUUUCCAGAGGAAGGCUCGUCCGCUCUGGGUUAGUCGGGUCCUAAGCUGAGGCCGACAGGCGUAGGCGAUGGAUAACAGGUUGAUAUUCCUGUACCACCUAUAAUCGUUUUAAUCGAUGGGGGGACGCAGUAGGAUAGGCGAAGCGUGCG